RNAcentral lists this long non-coding RNA (1849 nucleotides) under Homo sapiens (human). RNAcentral describes it as "HSALNT0334426". Lineage: Eukaryota; Metazoa; Chordata; Mammalia; Primates; Hominidae. The record is from RNAcentral.
CACUCCGGCGUAGACCACGAAGACCCAGGCAGCCGCCCUCGAGCCGGGGCCAGGGCGUGGCCGGCGCGGGGGCCCAGCGACGCUGGGAUCUCCGCUCUGCGUCCCUCCCGGCUCUCUGACGUCUCCCCCGCCCGAAUCCCCGCACCGCCCCCCGCAAGCCCUACAACCUCUGCUUUAAGAACCCUUGGAGGCACUGCUGCGCUUCCCGCGAGGAGAAUGUGGGGGUGGAGAUGGUGCGGUUUCUGCUGCUGCGGCCCGGGACACGCUUGGAAAGGGGCGGGGUGGGGGACUGAGAGUGUGGAGUGUAGAAAGGGAAAAGGUGACUCGGCUGUGUGACGGGGCGAUGGGGGGGGUACAAGAUGGCGUGAGCCCGACUCUCGGUGGGGCGGGGGUUGCGGAGACUGAGGAGUAAGCGAUACGGACGCCCCCCGCACUGGCAGUGCGGGCGCAUGCGCGCUUGGCCAGGUGGCGCGCGCUCUCCCAGCCCGAGCGAGCUACUUCCGCCACGCUCGCCGGGGGCGGGGCGUUGUGCGCGGCCUUCAGGGCCCGGCUUGGGCAGCGCUGAGCCACGCGGCGGCGUUUAGAGCUGGGGACGCUGGGAGCGGAGUGGGGACGAGCUGAGAUCGGUCAGGGUGUACAGGGUGCAGGCUUGAAUUCUUUAGGAAUUGGGCCCGAGAGGGCUAGGAUUUUUGAAGGAUUGGGUGACCGGCACUGGAAGUUGAUUUUCAACUCCGAGGAAGAGAUUCACCGUUCUAAGCUUCUUUCCAGGAAUUGGAGUGAACGGGAUCUUAAUGGGAUUGCGCGUUUACAAUGGUGAAGGGAAACGGAGGGGUCUGAACGCUCCCCGCAGGGCCGCAGUACAGGCGUGUGGAUGUGGAACCCUUUCUGGGACGGCGAAACCAGCUCUUACGCCGCUUCCGCGCGCCAUCACUCCCUACCCUGACCUCGCACAGAAUCUGUUUCAUUAAUCUGCUAUUAAUGUUUUUUCCCCAACUCAUGUUACUAGACGCAGGCGUUUAACUACCAUGUUUUGUUAUUGAAAACUUUUUCUACUUGAAGGCUUUUUUUUUUUUUUGGACGAUUCUGUGUUUAGAUUUUGGCCUGUUCCUCAUUUUAAAAUCUUGCACCCCCAGUAUUGUACUGUACAUUCUGUCCUGCCACAUUUAAUUGAUAUAGAUGUAGUUCUUUAAAUAAUACAGUAGUCGUAAGACAAUGCUUUCAGUCUUUCACUCUUUAUAUUAUAUGAAGUCUUAUUUAUAUUUAACAUUCUUAUUGCCUGCUUAGAGAAGAAAACUGGUUAUCCAUGCUCACCUUCACACCUGUGUUGUCAAAUACUAUAAAAUACUGUAUUUUAUAGGGAUUCAAGUAUUAACCCUCACCAAGUCUUUUUAAGCAUCACUGCUUCAGUUAUUUUCUUGCCUAUAGAUACUCGAUUCUUCUGCCUCAGCCUCCUGAGUAGCUGGGAUUACAGGCGUGUGCCACCACGCCCGGGUAAUUUUUGUAUUUUUAAUAGAGACGGGGUUUCACCAUGUUGGUCAGGCUGGUCUCAAACUCCUGACCUUGUGAUCUGCCUGCCUCGGCCUCCCAAAGUGCUGGGAUUACAGGUGUCAGCCACCGCACCCGGCCAGAAGUGGUUUCUUCUCAUGUGGAUGCUACAGUGACAGUUCAGGUGACUUGGAAAUUCUUUGUUGUUUGAGAUUCAUAACUCUUACUUGCUAGGAUGUUUGUGGGGACUUUUUAUUUUCUAUUUAUCAAUUAUUUCAUCCUUUGCUAUAUUUGCCUUCUAUUUUUAAUGCUUAAGUUGUCACCAUGGAAAUAAACUGGGUAGAUUGCAUAUUGUUUAGAACCG